This is a long non-coding RNA of Centrocercus urophasianus (Greater sage-grouse), 1822 nucleotides long. RefSeq lists it as uncharacterized. The record is from RefSeq and is a predicted model, not a curated record. The transcript has 3 exons. NCBI's taxonomy places the organism in Eukaryota, Metazoa, Chordata, Aves, Galliformes, Phasianidae.
AGUCGGUUCUGCAGCCCCCUGCACUGCUGUCCUGCCCUCACUCCGUGUUGCUGGGAUAUGAGGGCGCGUGCACUUCUGGUCACAGAGCAGGCAACAAAGCAGGGGAGCCGAUUCCAACCUUUGCACGCUGCAUUAUUGUGGGAGACAAUUAAUUAUUUUAUUUUUAUUUUUUUUCAGUAUGGCUGUAAGCGUAACCUCCGCUAGGGGAUGUUUGACCAACUUCCUAACUACCUUUCUACCAAAACUAUUGUGGCGUGAAUUUAGAUGAACUUUUGGAUGGGAAGCAGAGAGCCAACUUGCCAUCAUCCCCCCAAGGACACGUAUGAGCAGCUGGGGGCUGCUGGGGGCGCUGGGGGCUGCGUGUGGCACCGGGCAUUUCUGCAGCACAGUGAAGGUUGAAGCAGCUUGGAGGAUGGUGACGUGGGGAGCCCUGAAGCCAGACAGGCUCAGGAGUGCGCUGUGCAGUGUGUCCUUUCUUCUGGCAGGCUGUGUGUCCUCAGGCAGCCCCUGACCUGACCAGAGGGGCAGCACUACUUGGCCCCUUCUGGAAAGGCUGCCGUGUUCCCUGCUCUGCUGUGCUGCUCGCUGACGUGCUCAUUUCCAGCCUUACACCUAAUGACCUUUGAGGAAGGCUGUGAUGCCAGUCCCGGUGGCCCUUCCAGGCUGAGCAGCUGCUGAAGCAUUCCAUGCUUUGUUCUGAAGGCCAGGAAAGCCCCUCUGUGCUGUGCUGCCCCAGGAACCAGUCGCAGGGAUCCAAAGGCCUGGGAGCCGUGCUGCAAGUUAAGGCCCAGCACUGCUCUGUGCAAGACACAGGUGGUGACUUGCAGCACCCCAUCCUCCCAUGCUCCAGCUCCACAUCCCAGCCCAGCUGCAGACACCUGGCUCUCCUCCCCUCACGCUGAGCUCGCUGCUGACUGCCGUACGCUGCUUUGCUGCAGAUGGCACCUCGUGGUCUUCCAGGUGCCACUGUUUCUCCCCACCCCACGCCUUCCAGCUUUAUGCUUAAGGACUUGUACUUCUGGAAAGAGCAGCCUGCUCCUGCUCCCUGCUGUGUCUGACCACCAGGCGUUCUGCUGCAGGGAGCUGAAUACACGCCAGCAAGCACACCGCUGUCUGUCCCCAACAACCCCGGGCUUCAGCAAACCACAGCACUUUGCCUGCAAGCCUUCAGCUGUCUGUGUGCUGCAAUCCGCCUUUGUGGGAUGGAGGUCAGAUGGGGGGACGGGGUGCAGCAAGGUGGGAGCGGUGAUAACCAUCUCUCUUCUCUUUGCAGGUUCCUUCCCUGCAGGUGGGGGCUCGGUCCUGCCCUGCAGUGCUCAGUCCCAGUCUCACUCUGGGCAGCAGUGCCCAGCGUGCUGGGCUGCCUCUGAGGAGGGAAACGGGGCGGUUAAAGCUUCCCUGAGGGCUGCAGGGAUCUCUGCUUUGACAGGCUUUAACAGAGUCUCCCUGUGGAGUACUGAGCUGUGCUCCACAGACCGGAUUAAGGUUGGUUUGACACGUUUAAUGGCCACAACGGGCACAGAGCAUUCCUCAUCUGCCUGCAGCCCCUGCGACGCCGCGGGACGGCCGGGUAUUGUUGCUGCAGCUGGUGUUGUGAAUCAGGCCGACGGCAAGCGCUUCCUACUAUCCGGCUAUUUCACUACACCAGGGUUGCAUCAUACCACUUCCUUCACCCGCCUCCUGGAGCCUCCGUGCCUCUCCCGGAGCAUCUUGCUGCUGCGCCUGGCCUCUGAUUCCUGAGAGGCUCUGAUCUGUGCCGUCUGGGACAAGUUUGUGUUUUCUGAUGGGAUAAUGAGCUUCUAAAAUAAAGCUGUGGCUUCGA